This is a long non-coding RNA of Pseudopipra pipra, 2742 nucleotides long. RefSeq lists it as uncharacterized. NCBI's taxonomy places the organism in Eukaryota, Metazoa, Chordata, Aves, Passeriformes, Pipridae. The transcript has 6 exons. The record is from RefSeq and is a predicted model, not a curated record.
CUCACCUGGGACAGGGACGGGAAGGGCCGUGGGAGGGAGGGAUCCAGGCGAGGGGCCGGUCCCAGUGACCCAAGGGUUGCUUGGUGGAAGGGUGGGAGUCGGUGUUUACGGGGUCCCCGCUCACACCAUCCCAUUCCUCAUUCUACCUGUGUUUCGCCACCCGCAGCCAGAGCCAGGGCUCCACACUGAGCUCCUGGGAUAGGGAAGAGGAUGGAAGGCACGUGGAGAGGAGAAAUGUUUCCCUGGCUGGCCCACAACACGAGACCAGGUUGGAUCUGGGAGCGAAGGCAACGCUGGAGCGGCGUGGAAAAGGCUCACCUCGCGACAGAGGGGGAACUGCAGGAAAAGCCUCCCUGUGCCCCCAGGAAGGCAAUUCCUGCCCCACUUCUGAGCUCUGGCUGCUCCCUGUGCAGGGAAAGGGGCUGAGGACACCCACCUUCCUGGGACACCAGCUCCCACCAGCACAGGGGUGAAAAGCAGCAGGAACCUGAUGUCUUAGGAAAAUCCCUGGAGAAGAGCCAGACAGGAUUUCAUGGAAGGAGCAGAGGACUGGGAAGGAAUUCUGAGCCCUGCCCACAGCCUUCCCAACACAGGGAGUACAGUUAAUAAAUCAGAGCCUCGAUGUGGAGAUGAAUUAAUCGGGCUGCCAGGAAAGGAUGGAAUGAAGGCUCAAAUGAACACCAGCAAACAAAUGCUCCUGUCAGACUGCAGGAAGUGUCCUGGCAUUGAGGUGCCCAUUGGGACAGGGCCAAAAUCCAGAUGGAGGUCUGAAGCUGCUGCCAGUGAAGGGGCUGGAAUUUGCCAUUGCUGGGAAGAGCUCUCAGGAGAAAUCAUCCAGCAUAGACAAGAUGCAGGUGAGGAUUCGGAAGCGUUGGGCCACAAAAACAACAGGAGGAGCUGGGACUGUACCUGUGGGAGACGAUGGUGGGGGGCAGCUGCUUGUGAUCCCCGGCCAGGAUGCACUUGGGAGCCUUCAGCAGAGGGAUCCAGCAACUGGCUUCCAGGGCCUGAGCACACUCAUCAAUCACCACCAGGUCGAAGUGGUUUUCGGGCAGCAGCUUCAGCGGGCCGUCGGAGGAGGCACCUGAUGGAAGCAGAAGAAGCUUCCAAGACUCUUUGGAAAACAGCAGCCAAAGAGAACGAGAUCCUGGAAUGCUUCACCCAGAGCAGAGCAGUGAACACCCACCUUCCUGCUGCCCCCCCAGUGCAAACAGAACUCCUCAUCACCAACACUGGAAGGGUGAGGGACUGCAGCUCCACCAGUCUGAGAAGUGGGGGACAGCCCAGGACGGAGAGACGGGCUGAGCCCCCACUCCUCUGCCCUGCUGACCCCCUGGCUGUGCCACUCUGUCCUUCCUCAUGGCACUGGGAGAAGGGAAAGCACAGGACAAGUAACCAGGCCACCACAGCAAGGGCUAAUUUUUAGUAUCAGAAGCCCGUUUGUAACAUCAAACAAAUAACCCUGGCACACAACCUGCUCUAAGCCAGACCUACCUGAUACCGAUCCACGCAUUGAUCAGAAAUCUGGAUGUCAGGGGCAUCAAAAUCUCACCCAAAUCAUAAGGAAAAAGAAUGCAAAAGGAGGAGAGCAGGGUUAAGAAGCCAGCAAGCCAGGAGAGAAGAUUUUUAUUCACAGAGGUGUUUUUUUUCCCAAAGCUCCUGUGCUAUUCUUCCUGCUUUCCUCCUUUGAAAGCAGCUCUGAGAGGGGGGAUUUGGCUUUGCCACCAUAAAUCCUGCUGCCUCUGCACCUCUGCAUCACUUCAGAUCUUACAGCUUGUCAUCUAAGACACCCUGUUUUCCUUUAAAAGCUGUUUUUCCAGCCUAUAUGAAUCCACUCUGGUAAGAGGGGCACAGUUAUAACCUGACUUAUGCCUUUGGCCACGCCGAGGGUGGAAGGAGAAGAAAUGGAAGUUUCCUCCUGUCUAAACCAGCCUGUACCAGCAUGGCCUGGUUUUCUUCCCUCCCAGCCAUGGGUUUAUUAAACUGCCAUUAAUUAAAGGCCACUCAUGUCCCCGAGUGCUGCCAUGAUUAGAUUUUCUCUGGGCUGAAGCCACCGGCAGAGCACUUGGGCUGCAGAAUUCCCCCCAAUCCCACGGGUCCAGAGAAAUCCCACCACUGCUUAACAAAAUCCAACCCCUUGGUUCGCCCACCAGCUCUCUCUGAAGCAGAAUUCCAGACCCCCCAGCUGGGAAGCCCCAGCCCCAGGAGAAAAAUCACAGCUGAUCCCCCGAAAAUACCAGUUUUGCUGGAAAAAAAGGAAACCUCCCCGUUUUCCAGGCAAGGUUAAAAGAAGGGAGAGGCCAAAUCCUAGAGAAUAAAGGGAAUACUUAUCUUUCCUUUAACCUUCACCCCAGUAACUUGCCCCAUGAGUUCUUUUUUAUGACCUAAAAUUACUGAUGUUUCCCUUCAGGAAAUGAUCCCUGAGCAAUUAAAUCUGAAGAUUAUAAGUGGAGUAUUAAACAUCUGAGCUAGAAAAGCCCUUUAACAUGUGUUAAACUUUAACCACUCACAUCCCCCUCGACUGCAGGGGUAUUACCUUCCUACCUGUAGAUGCAGAUGCCUGAUGGAUACCUGGAUCUGCUCCCUAAAUCCUGUGUCACACCACACUUUUUCUUGUUUUGUUUUUAAUAAGUAAUUAAUAAAUUAAAAGUGAAUAUACGAAAUUUAUAUUAAAAUUAAUAUAUAAGAAUAUUAUAUAUAUAAAAAUAUAAACAUAUAUUAUAUAUUAUGCAACAUAUAACA